Molecule: ribosomal RNA, 255 nt
Filed under: uncultured bacterium
Lineage: Bacteria
Description: partial 16S ribosomal RNA
Rfam family: Bacterial small subunit ribosomal RNA
Source: RNAcentral
UACGUAGGGGGCAAGCGUUGUCCGGAUUUACUGGGCGUAAAGAGCGUGUAGGCGGCCAAGCAGGUCCGUUGUGAAAACUGGAGGCUUAACCUCCAGACGUCGACGGAAACCGCGCGGCUAGAGUCCGGAAGAGGAGAGUGGAAUUCCUGGUGUAGCGGUGAAAUGCGCAGAUAUCAGGAAGAACACCAAUGGCGAAGGGCAGCUCUCUGGGACGGUACUGACGGUUCAGCACGAAAGCGUGGGGAGCAAAGCAGG